UCAAGUGUUGUUGGACGUAGAAAGCUCUACCAAAAUUUUCAAAAGUGUCUACUUCUCUGAAUCAUGUAUGUUUUGGGUCAUUUCCUUGAAGGGCGCUUCAGUUAACACCGCUUGUGCUUGACAUCCCUGUUGGCUAAAGAUACACCCCUGCACCGACUGUUCUGUUGGAACGUAUUUCUUAUGUUCCAGUCUGUCAACAGAAUAAACAUAACAUUUAAUAAGAACCUGUCAAAGUUGAUGAAGUAUUGAUGCCUUUGAUGCCAAAAGACAAGACUGAGCUGGUCACAAGAUGACUGCAUAUCUUCACAGCCAUAAAGAUGAUAAAACCCAUGCUCUAGGAUUUUUAUAUUUGCAGGAGAUGCAUAACGUCUGUGCAUCAGUUGUACAAACAAAUAAACCGGUUUAAACCAUUUUCACUUGCUUAU
This 425-nucleotide long non-coding RNA is filed under the name Equus caballus (horse). RNAcentral describes it as "lncRNA (ENSECAG00000052004.1)". The record is from RNAcentral. Lineage: Eukaryota; Metazoa; Chordata; Mammalia; Perissodactyla; Equidae.